Long non-coding RNA from Parasteatoda tepidariorum (common house spider), 287 nucleotides. RefSeq lists it as uncharacterized. The record is from RefSeq and is a predicted model, not a curated record. NCBI's taxonomy places the organism in Eukaryota, Metazoa, Arthropoda, Arachnida, Araneae, Theridiidae.
UUCAAAUUUCUUUUUUUUAACUGAACACAUUUAAGUCAUGGAUACCUUGAAAAGGAAGAGUGAAUCUGAACUAAAACGUUGCUGCGAAGAAAGUUAAGCCGUUGAAAUCUGAUGUUUCUGAAAAUCUUCAAAGAUGAUUGUAAACAAGAGGGAGCCUUUCACAUUGGAAUCGAUGUAUUUGUCGUGGUGGGAACCUGUAAAGGAUCGAUACAGUACCGCUCAAAAGUGUCAGUACACCUAGAAACUUAUAAAAAAAUGGCAAAAUUCAAAGUGUCAUAACUUCUUUA